ACGCUCGACACCUACGGAGGCAGCAGUGGGGAAUAUUGCACAAUGGGGGAAACCCUGAUGCAGCGACGCCGCGUGAAGGAAGAAGUAUUUCGGUAUGUAAACUUCUAUCAGCAGAGAAGAAAAUGACGGUACCUGACUAAGAAGCCCCGGCCUAACUACGUGCCAGCAGCCGUGGUAAUCUGAGCGGGCUGGCAAGGC
This 198-nucleotide ribosomal RNA is filed under the name uncultured bacterium. Its description in RNAcentral is "partial 16S ribosomal RNA". It matches the Rfam family "Bacterial small subunit ribosomal RNA", at positions 328 to 539 of the family's 1533-position model. The record is from RNAcentral.